UCAGAUUGAACGCUGGCGGCAGGCCUAACACAUGCAAGUCGAACGGUAACAGGAAGCAGCUUGCUGCUUUGCUGACGAGUGGCGGACGGGUGAGUAAUGUCUGGGAAACUGCCUGAUGGAGGGGGAUAACUACUGGAAACGGUAGCUAAUACCGCAUAACGUCGCAAGACCAAAGAGGGGGACCUUCGGGCCUCUUGCCAUCGGAUGUGCCCAGAUGGGAUUAGCUAGUAGGUGGGGUAACGGCUCACCUAGGCGACGAUCCCUAGCUGGUCUGAGAGGAUGACCAGCCACACUGGAACUGAGACACGGUCCAGACUCCUACGGGAGGCAGCAGUGGGGAAUAUUGCACAAUGGGCGCAAGCCUGAUGCAGCCAUGCCGCGUGUAUGAAGAAGGCCUUCGGGUUGUAAAGUACUUUCAGCGGGGAGGAAGGGAGUAAAGUUAAUACCUUUGCUCAUUGACGUUACCCGCAGAAGAAGCACCGGCUAACUCCGUGCCAGCAGCCGCGGUAAUACGGAGGGUGCAAGCGUUAAUCGGAAUUACUGGGCGUAAAGCGCACGCAGGCGGUUUGUUAAGUCAGAUGUGAAAUCCCCGGGCUCAACCUGGGAACUGCAUCUGAUACUGGCAAGCUUGAGUCUCGUAGAGGGGGGUAGAAUUCCAGGUGUAGCGGUGAAAUGCGUAGAGAUCUGGAGGAAUACCGGUGGCGAAGGCGGCCCCCUGGACGAAGACUGACGCUCAGGUGCGAAAGCGUGGGGAGCAAACAGGAU
Molecule: ribosomal RNA, 765 nt
Filed under: Escherichia coli
Lineage: Bacteria; Pseudomonadati; Pseudomonadota; Gammaproteobacteria; Enterobacterales; Enterobacteriaceae
Description: bacterial SSU rRNA
Rfam family: Bacterial small subunit ribosomal RNA
Source: RNAcentral